AAAGGUAAAAGAGCAGACCUUGUACAUGUCCUGCUGUGAUUUUUGAAUCACAAUGGCCUUGCCACAACCAACAUAACAAACUAAUCCUGCCUUGCCAACCACAUCAGUUUUGUCCACCUCAGUUUCUCAUUAACAAACCUUGCCUUUGCCUUACCACCACAAAGCAACCUAGCAGCAAACUGGACUCCUCUUUUUCUGUCAAGACCAAGCAUUAAUUGUAGCCACAUGUGACAGCAGAAAAAAUUGGUUAACACACUGCACUGCAUUCAGGCUGCCUUUGGCAUUUCAAAAUUUGCUGUCAAGUCCAAAGGAGCCAAACCC
Molecule: long non-coding RNA, 321 nt
Filed under: Lathyrus oleraceus (garden pea)
Lineage: Eukaryota; Viridiplantae; Streptophyta; Magnoliopsida; Fabales; Fabaceae
Description: Pisum sativum (pea) long non-coding RNA (PSAT_LNC040880)
Source: RNAcentral